This 500-nucleotide ribosomal RNA is filed under the name uncultured Glomeromycotina. RNAcentral's name for it is "partial small subunit ribosomal RNA". It matches the Rfam family "Eukaryotic small subunit ribosomal RNA", at positions 591 to 1092 of the family's 1831-position model. Lineage: Eukaryota; Fungi; Glomeromycota. The record is from RNAcentral.
CCAAUAGCGUAUACUAAAGUUGUUGCAGUUAAAAAGCUCGUAGUUGAAUUUCGGGAUCAAUUUGCUGGUCGUGCCUUUGGUACGUACUGGUAUUACUGGUUUCUCCUUUCUGAAGAACUGCGAUGUCAUUUAUUUGGUGUUGUGGGAAAUCAGGACUGUUACUUUGAAAAAAUUAGAGUGUUUAAAGCAGGCUCACGCUUGAAUACAUUAGCAUGGAAUAAUGAAAUAGGACGUUUGAUUCUAUUUUGUUGGUUUCUAGGAUCGACGUAAUGAUUAAUAGGGAUAGCUGGGGGCAUUAGUAUUCAAUUGUCAGAGGUGAAAUUCUUGGAUUUAUUGAAGACUAACUACUGCGAAAGCAUUUGCCAAGGAUGUUUUCAUUAAUCAAGAACGAAAGUUAGGGGAUCGAAGACGAUCAGAUACCGUCGUAGUCUUAACCAUAAACUAUGCCGACUAGGGAUCGGAUGAUGUUAAUUUUUUAAUGACUCAUUCGGCGCCUUACG